UACAGAGGGGGCAAGCGUUGUUCGGAAUUACUGGGCGUAAAGGGCGCGUAGGCGGCCUUCUAAGUCGAACGUGAAAUCCCCGGGCUCAACCCGGGAACUGCGUCCGAUACUGGAAGGCUUGAAUUCGGGAGAGGGAUGCGGAAUUCCAGGUGUAGCGGUGAAAUGCGCAGAUAUCAGGAGGAACACCGGUGGCGAAGGCGGGUCUCUGGGCCGUAACUGACGCUGAGGAGCGAAAGCGUGGGGAGCGAACAGG
Molecule: ribosomal RNA, 253 nt
Filed under: uncultured bacterium
Lineage: Bacteria
Description: partial 16S ribosomal RNA
Rfam family: Bacterial small subunit ribosomal RNA
Source: RNAcentral